UGAGCUCCCUUCCAUGCUGGGAUUUCACUGCCGUUUCUUAAGAUCUGUUCCAUAGUGGGCAUGACCCAGAAUCUGGCUGUUAGGAUCAUCUUGAGCAGAUCCAAAAUCCCGUUGGCUUCAGGUAGGGCCAGCUCCAGCUCAUGGCUGUCCUGGAUGCUGCGAGGGGCCUGCCUGAUUUCCCUGCCUUCUCUCAUGGGACCAGAAUGUGCUUCUCUUGUGGGGACACAGAUUAAAGCUGGAGGAGACUUACAGCUUGGAGUCUUUUUUUUGAAGUUUAGGACUGGUGUGUUUAAGGAAGCCAAGGCCAACUUUCCUGGAAUGCUAAUAAGAAGUGUGUGUCCAAGAUCAUGCACAGAAACCUUGCAAGGGGACUAGUGAAGAAGGCACAGAGGCAGUGUCUGUGCUCAGGACUGCCUGGGCCACAGAACAGAACCCAGACUUCACGGACGGUCCUUUUCUUCUCUUCCUCCGGCACCACAAAACUGGUAGCAUUUUGUUCUGUAGUGGGUUCUCUUCUCCAUAAAAAGGCACAGUUGCUGGCCAUGUCCUCCCUUCCCCUUCUGCCUACCUUGCCUUGAUUUAAAUCUUGAGUGACCAAAUCAGUGUAGCAAUUUGCAUGGCAAAAUAAAAUGUGUGCACUUGGGUGGUUUGUGAAUGUUUGUUGGGAGCAUUCCACAGCUGCUUGAAUAACUGAGGCUUUGGAUGUGUGAUGUUUGGGGCUGAUGCUUGUUUUGCAAUACUUGAGGUGUCCUUGAGUGGUUCUGCCCUCCCUCUAUAAUCUGGGAUGGCUCCCCUCUCAGACUGUGCUUACUAUUUGUGGGUGUUUUUGGAGCAUCUCAGGAAUCCAUGGACCAGUCCUCUGCUCUUCUGUCCUGGGAUCACAUCAGAGCUCUGCUGCUCACUCCUGCCAACCUCCUCAGGAAAUGCCAGUGCCCAGGCCCUGUGGCUCACAAAGCCAGAGAUCUUGACAUGUUAACCCUGCAGCCACCCAGGGUCUGUCUCUUCAACAAUUGAGGCAGUAUCCCUCAGUGUCUUCUUCAGUGCCACACACAGCCCUGCAUGUUCCAUAUCUCAGAGAGUCCCUUGUAGAAAUAACUCAGGUACACGUCCAGGCCUUAGCAAUGAGCUUUGGGACUGGGCUACGAGGUGGUACUCUGAAGCAGAAGCCUGCAGCCCUCUCCAUCUCUGUCCCUGGAAGCACACACCAAACUCUGCCUAGUUCUCCUGAAGCCCCCAAGGAAACCCUCACAUACUCACCAGCUCCUGGGAACAAUGGCCCGUGUUUAUCACACAUGCUCCGAUGUGGCUCAGGCGUAUCUCUUGCUAAAGAAAAGAUCUCCCUACGUUAAUGUAUAUUUUGAUUACAAAAGAAUAUGUGUCGUGGCAGAAAUUUGGACUAUAGAAAAUAUGAAUAAAAUUUAAGUUGUCCACAGAUCUGUGGCCACGCACUGAAGAAGUUCUCAGACAGACGUGAGUGGACAUGCAGGGCUGACU
Prionailurus viverrinus (fishing cat) is the source of this 1494-nucleotide long non-coding RNA. RefSeq lists it as uncharacterized. Lineage: Eukaryota; Metazoa; Chordata; Mammalia; Carnivora; Felidae. The transcript is spliced from 3 exons. The record is from RefSeq and is a predicted model, not a curated record.